GGAUAUAGUUCAGUUGGCAGAGUGCUUGCCUUGCAAGCAUAGGUCCUGGGUUCGAUUCCCUGCACCA
This 67-nucleotide transfer RNA is filed under the name Marmota monax (woodchuck). RNAcentral's name for it is "tRNA.Ala". Lineage: Eukaryota; Metazoa; Chordata; Mammalia; Rodentia; Sciuridae. The record is from RNAcentral.